This 254-nucleotide ribosomal RNA is filed under the name uncultured bacterium. RNAcentral describes it as "partial 16S ribosomal RNA". It matches the Rfam family "Bacterial small subunit ribosomal RNA", at positions 524 to 776 of the family's 1533-position model. The record is from RNAcentral.
UACGUAGGGACCAAGCGUUGUCCGGAAUCAUUGGGCGUAAAGAGCGUGUAGGCGGCUUGUUAAGUCUUGCGUGAAAUCUCGGGGCUCAACCCCGAGCGGUCGUGAGAAACUGGCAGGCUAGAGUGCGGGAGAGGAGAGUGGAAUUCCUGGUGUAGCGGUGAAAUGCGCAGAUAUCAGGAAGAACACCCGUGGCGAAGGCGGCUCUCUGGAACGCAACUGACGCUGAGACGCGAAAAGCGUGGGGAGCAAACAGG